RNAcentral lists this ribosomal RNA (673 nucleotides) under Dreissena presbensis. RNAcentral's name for it is "eukaryotic LSU rRNA". It matches the Rfam family "Eukaryotic large subunit ribosomal RNA", at positions 379 to 854 of the family's 3401-position model. Lineage: Eukaryota; Metazoa; Mollusca; Bivalvia; Myida; Dreissenidae. The record is from RNAcentral.
AAGAGAGAGUUCAAGAGUACGUGAAACCGCAUAGAGUCAAACUGGUGGAUCCGCAGAGUCCGCGCGGGGAAUUCAGCUCGGCAGGCGGGGCCGUGCGCCGGCCGAGAUUCGUCUCGGACCUGGCUGGCGCGCUGCGUACUCGCAGGCAGGGUGCACUUUCCCCGGCUAGCGGAAGGCCACGACCGGUUCGGUGGCGGUCAGGAGCCCGGAGCGGGAGGUAGCCGUGAUCGGUUCACGCCGAUUGCGGAACGUACAGCCCUCCGAGGUGGACUCGCCGCUGGACCGAGGAUGCCGCGGUGGCCUCACGCCGCGGGCCGUCCGGGAGCGUUCGACUUUGGCCACGCUGCUCGCAGCCGGCCGAGACCGCGCUUCUGGUACGGGCUCGCGAACGGGGGCCGCCUAGGGUCAGUGGCGAAUCGGUCGGCAACCCACCAGACCCGUCUUGAAACACGGACCAAGGAGUCUAGCAUGUGCGCGAGUCACGGGGUCUCUCGAAACCCAAGGGCGCAAUGAAAGUGAAGGCCGCCUCCGGCUGGCCCAGGCAAGAUCCCGAGACGUUCGCGUCGAGGGCGCACUGCCGGCCCGUCUCGCUGGCAUCGACCACGAGGCGGAGCAAGAGCGCACACGCUGGGACCCGAAAGAUGGUGAACUAUGCCUGAGUAGGACGAAGUCA